This 529-nucleotide long non-coding RNA is filed under the name Pan paniscus (pygmy chimpanzee). Its description in RNAcentral is "lncRNA (ENSPPAG00000045437.1)". The record is from RNAcentral. Lineage: Eukaryota; Metazoa; Chordata; Mammalia; Primates; Hominidae.
CACGUUCAAUUAUAAGUCCUCAGAAAUUUGUUUAAAAUCGUUGCAGCUGGGAGAUGUAAAAAACCUUAUGAAUGAGGAAAAUCGAAGUGAAUUAUACUUCACGGGGAAGUCUCUCAAUGGAAAAUGUGGUAAACAGGCCUGGAGGAAAAAAGGAAACAGAUGCUGACUGAUAAGAAAUGCUUAUUUUAACAGGGAGACACCAGCAUGGAUGUGCUGGGGUUUAAAGAAGGACUCAGCAGAUCUGUUUUUUCUCUCUGCAGGUGGCUCGGCUUCAGUGAACUGAAAUAUCUUGAUCAAAAGAUAAAAUGCAUUUCACCUCCGAGAGUGAAAACAGCCUGGAUCCUCACCAUGUUUGAAGCUCUGGGUGGCCGUGACUUCUGCCGUGUGGACCAGUAACAGAAGCCAGUUGCAAAAAGAGAAGAAUGAAGUCAACAUACAGAGGCUGUCUUUUGCCAAGACCUUUCAUGCCAGAUGGGUCUUUGAAAUAAUGCAAAAGCAUCUGUUAUUCAGGUUUCUUUUUUUCUUCUUC